ACACAUGCAAGUCGAACGAUGAAGGAGGAGCUUGCUCCUCCGGAUUAGUGGCGAACGGGUGAGUAAUACGUGAGCAAUGUGCCCUUGACUCUGGGAUAAGCGCUGGAAACGGCGUCUAAUACCGGAUACGACGAUCGGAGGCAUCUCCUGGUCGUGGAAAGAACUUCGGUCAAGGAUCAGCUCACGGCCUAUCAGCUAGUUGGUGAGGUAACGGCUCACCAAGGCGACGACGGGUAGCCGGCCUGAGAGGGUGACCGGCCACACUGGGACUGAGACACGGCCCAGACUCCUACGGGAGGCAGCAGUGGGGAAUAUUGCACAAUGGGCGCAAGCCUGAUGCAGCAACGCCGCGUGAGGGACGAAGGCCUUCGGGUUGUAAACCUCUUUUAGCAGGGAAGAAGCGAAAGUGACGGUACCUGCAGAAAAAGCACCGGCUAACUACGUGCCAGCAGCCGCGGUAAUACGUAGGGUGCAAGCGUUGUCCGGAAUUAUUGGGCGUAAAGAGCUCGUAGGCGGUUUGUCACGUCUGCUGUGAAAACCCGAGGCUCAACCUCGGGCUUGCAGUGGGUACGGGCAGACUAGAGUGCGGUAGGGGAGAUUGGAAUUCCUGGUGUAGCGGUGGAAUGCGCAGAUAUCAGGAGGAACACCGAUGGCGAAGGCAGAUCUCUGGGCCGUAACUGACGCUGA
This 687-nucleotide ribosomal RNA is filed under the name unidentified microorganism. RNAcentral describes it as "bacterial SSU rRNA". It matches the Rfam family "Bacterial small subunit ribosomal RNA", at positions 51 to 749 of the family's 1533-position model. The record is from RNAcentral.